GGGGUUGUGGCUCAGAGGUAGAGCACUCACCUAGCAUGUGCGAGGCCCUGGGUUCAAUCCUCAGCACCACA
Molecule: transfer RNA, 71 nt
Filed under: Marmota monax (woodchuck)
Lineage: Eukaryota; Metazoa; Chordata; Mammalia; Rodentia; Sciuridae
Description: tRNA.Ala
Rfam family: tRNA
About the family: Transfer RNA (tRNA) molecules are approximately 80 nucleotides in length. Their secondary structure includes four short double-helical elements and three loops (D, anti-codon, and T loops).
Source: RNAcentral